RNAcentral lists this ribosomal RNA (435 nucleotides) under uncultured bacterium. RNAcentral's name for it is "partial 16S ribosomal RNA". It matches the Rfam family "Bacterial small subunit ribosomal RNA", at positions 29 to 507 of the family's 1533-position model. The record is from RNAcentral.
AGCGAACGCUGGCGGCAGGCUUAACACAUGCAAGUCGAGCGGGCACCCUCGGGUGUCAGCGGCAGACGGGUGAGUAACACGUGGUAACGUACCCUUCGGUUCGGAAUAACGCUGGGAAACUAGCGCUAAUACCGGAUACGCCCUUAUGGGGAAAGGUUUACUGCCGUAGGAUCGGCCCGCGUCUGAUUAGCUAGUUGGUGGGGUAACGGCCUACCAAGGCGACGAUCCGUAGCUGGGCUGUGAGGAUGGGCAGCCACACUGGGACUGAGACACGGCCCAGACUCCUACGGGAGGCAGGAGUGGGGAAUAGUGGACAAUGGGCGCAAGCCUGAUCCAGCCAUGCCGCGUGAGUGAUGAAGGCCUUAGGGUUGUAAAGCUCUUUUGUCCGGGACGAUAAUGACGGUACCGGAAGAAUAAGCCCCGGCUAACUUCGUG